UGUACCUAGUUAGGUCUAAUUUUUUAAUUUUUGUAAAAAUUGUUGUGAACAAAAUGAUUUUAUUCUUAAGUGCAAUAUUCAUGUAACAAGUAGCCGUCGUCGUGACAACAUAAAUAAUUGUGUUUUUAUUGACCUAAAGCCCGUCAUUAAUAUUUUCAUCACUUUGUAAAGGUCACUUCCAUCAACAAAUAUAUGUACUUCAUUCAAACUAAUACAUAAAGUUAAAUCUACCAAAAAUCAAUAUCAAAUUUUCAACAAAAAAAAUAUUAAAUGGUUUAUUCCGUUGAAAAAUUGUAAGGGGAUGUUAAAAAUGAUUUCCAUUUGCGUAACCAAAAAAUUUCGAAGAUUUGUGGACAGUUGUAAGAAACAGCAAAUAGGAAUAACAAAUCAACAAGAUGCACAUGGACAAUGGGCCUUAAUGUGUCCUACUCCAUUACGGACAUUACGGACAGCCACUUCAACCAAACCUAAGAAGAACCUAAUUGUAAAUUAAAUGUAUUACGAAGUUCCUGCCAUUUUUUGACCUAUCCGGCGGAUAGCAAAACACAAGUUUGCAUGUCAACGUUUAACAGAAUAUGGCUGAUAAAAUUACCCAUUUAGUCAUUUCUUUGGAUAGAAGAAAACUUGUAGACAAAAUUAUUAUAAGGUUAAGAUUACUAGACUGAGUGGGAAGGAAAGUAUAAAGAAACGCCAGAAAUGCAUUCCACAAAAUCUAAGUACAGUUUAAAAGCUUUUAUAGUCCCUUGAUUUUAAGUUCGCUUACUUACCUAUAUUAAAAAAACAAAAAAUAAUAUUUAAUUUAUGCAAUUAAGCAUGUAUGCUUUAUUCAACUUUGUUUAUGUUUAUAAAAAGCAUUUUUAUAUUUUUUUAACUGAGGCUAUAGAUUUGUAUGUAAUUCAUUACAAAGAAUUACAAAAAUAUUCUCAAAUUAAAUGCAUUUCGUUGUUAAUCAUUUGAAAAAGGGAAAGAAAAUAAUUCCUAUUAACGUACAUAUGUAUGUAUGUACAGUCUCGGCCAUAUUAUUAGACGCACUUAAGAUAUUAUGCAAAAUCUUAAUUUCCAGCUAUUUUAAUCAGGUUUUCGAAUAUUGUAAUGCAUUUAAAUUGUUUUGAAUGCAGAAUAGAAACUACUUUCUAUUCCGAAUAAUCUAAUAAUCAUACAAAUUCUGCAGUGCGUCUAAUAAUAUGGCCAGGGACUGUAUGUAUUAUUUCAAUACGAAAAAGUUAAAUAAACAAUUUGAAAACGUUUCGUGCUUUGAAAUAGAAAUACCAGAACAGAAAACUAAACUUUACUUUUAUUUAAAUUUAUUGACUGCAAAAUCAAAUUAGUAAAAGGGUAAUCCAAUGCAUUGCUAUGAUUAGUUUUGUAAGCAUGCUACAUAGCAAUGAGUAUAAAUGCAUUACAAUAACUAAUUAGAGGAUAUACAAAAAAACUAGAAAUCAGGCAAUGAGUUGUGAAAUAAAAUAAUUCCGAUGGGAAUGUGAGAAUUGUAUUUGUCAUGACUAAUUCGUGACAUUAGAUUUCUACGUCUCCAAUAUGUUAUGGCAAAUCAUAUUGAAAGCCGCUUAGAGCCGACCGAUGGCAUACCUACAGUAAAAUACAUAGAUGUUAAGAUACAAAAUUCAAUUAAUAGUUUUUACGUCACUAAUGGAAUUUUACCUUCAAUACAUUUGUUAGUCUGUGACAGAAAAAAUAAGAGCCAGUCUACACGUAAUUUUUAUCAUAAAGGUUAAAUAAAUGCUUUAAGUCAGAUGAAAACAUUUGGCAAUUAUAUCAUGGUUGUGUCUAUCGUAUAAAAAGCAUUUGGAUGGGUGCUUGUGGUAUGUAAAGGUGGUCCUUUAAAUAAAAACAGUAAAUGCUUUUAAAUUAAAGAUGUUUGUGUUUUAUUAAAUUGCAGAAAUUUUAUUAUUUUAUCGAUGUCCUAAGGCAUUUAUUUAUUUUCUUAUUUCUUAUAUAGAGCUCACGUAAGAAAUAAUAUACAUAGAUAAGUAGGUUGAUUCAUAUUAUUUGCAGAGCAGAGGAAAUCUUCCAAGUAAGGCCUCAUAUUGAUUCAUUCAUUUUUGUACAGAUGGAUUCAAGAUAAAUGAGGAAGUUGGUAUGGUAGUGGUGUGUACUCAAAAAAGCUUAAUCUAAGCAUCUCAUUGCGGCCGCCUAAUCAUUGUAGCGUCUUCCAAGCCGAAAUUUUAGUGAUCAAAGAGGUUCUCUCAACCAAAUCUCAAACGGCUCUCGAUUGUCGAUCGUCUCUUAUGGAGAUGGCGCAGCAAUUUACCAUUCACCUAUGUUGGGUGCCGGGCCACAGAGACAUCACGGGAAAUUGUAGAUCCGAUGAACUCGCUAAAAAUGGAACCGUCAUGCCUAUUUCACCUGAAUGGGAGAAGAUGUUUAUACCGAUAGCUACAUGAAAACUUGUGCUCAAAGAGACAGCUUUUGCGAUAGCAAACUCUAGGUGGCAUAAUUAACCAACAUGCGCAGCCACAAAGCUCAUAUGUCCUUCACUGGACCUAAAGCGCUCUAAAGACUUCAUAUUAGCUCCCUAAUAGGUGUCCUUACGGGACACUGUCUGACACGCAAUACAUCUUGGUGUAGCCUCAAAUGACUUCUGCAGGUGCUGUAUGGAAGAGGAAGUGAACUAGCUAAAAAGGAUAUCAAAAAAGAGGCUGGGAUGCGACCCACACUGAAAACUUCCCAUCCCGUCUGUCAAUUUGUCGCUUAAAAAUUUUAUUUUUUAUGAAAAAACGGACUGUUGGAUUUUUAUAUACAAAUUACUGAAUAUCGAAAAUAAUAUUUUCUGUGAAAUAAAAUAAGUUUUUUUACCAAGUUUUAGUAUUGUUUUUUUUUAGAGUUUUAUUUUUUGUACAAAAACUGUCAAUUCGAUUUUUUUCAAAAUUUUAUCGAAUGUUGAAAACAAUAUUUCUUAUAAUAUAAAAUUAGUUUGAAGCCAAUAUUUCAAAUUUUUGAAAAGAUAUUUGAGUUGAAAAUCAAUUUUUACCAACUUUUAUAAAUUUUUUUGUUAGGUUUUUAUUUUUUGUA
This is a long non-coding RNA of Eupeodes corollae, 3030 nucleotides long. RefSeq lists it as uncharacterized. The transcript has 3 exons. Lineage: Eukaryota; Metazoa; Arthropoda; Insecta; Diptera; Syrphidae. The record is from RefSeq and is a predicted model, not a curated record.